RNAcentral lists this unclassified non-coding RNA (22 nucleotides) under Mus musculus (house mouse). Its description in RNAcentral is "oocyte_clustered_small_RNA11718". Lineage: Eukaryota; Metazoa; Chordata; Mammalia; Rodentia; Muridae. The record is from RNAcentral.
UGAGAACCCGGGUCACCUUUAU